AAUCUGUUGUGUGGACAGUCUCGCACCAAUCUCUUAAACCUCGCCCAGGCGUCGCUGAGUGAUUCGUCAAUUUCCUGUUCAAAAUUCGUGAUUAACUUCUAAAAUU
Non-coding RNA from Benincasa hispida (wax gourd), 106 nucleotides. The record is from RefSeq and is a predicted model, not a curated record. Lineage: Eukaryota; Viridiplantae; Streptophyta; Magnoliopsida; Cucurbitales; Cucurbitaceae.